GCCCAGUCGCAGCAGGGUCGUCGUCAUCUUGAGCCGUGAGAUGAGGGUUAAGUCACGCAACGAGCGCAGCCCUCGUUUUAUGUUGCCAGCACGUAAUGGUGGGAACUCAUGGGAUGGUGCCGGGGUCAACUCGGAGGAAGGUGGGGAUGACGUCAAAUCAUCAUGCCCCUUAUGUCUUGGGCUUCACGCAUGCUACAAUGGCCGGUACAAAGGGCUGCGAUACCGUAAGGUGGAGCGAAUCCCAAAAAGCCGGUCCCAGUUCGGAUUGAGGUCUGCAACUCGACCUCAUGAAGUCGGAGUCGCUAGUAAUCGCAGAUCAGCAACGCUGCGGUGAAUACGUUCCCGGGUCUUGUACACACCGCCCGUCAAGUCAUGAAAGUCGGUAACACCUGAAGCCGGUGGCCUAACCCUUGUGGAGGGAGCCGUCGAAGGUGGAUCGUUGCCACA
Molecule: ribosomal RNA, 447 nt
Filed under: Micrococcales bacterium
Lineage: Bacteria; Bacillati; Actinomycetota; Actinomycetes; Micrococcales
Description: bacterial SSU rRNA
Rfam family: Bacterial small subunit ribosomal RNA
Source: RNAcentral